CGUAGGGACCGAGCGUUAUCCGGAUUCAUUGGGCGUAAAGAGCUCGUAGGCGGCUAUCCAAGUCGAACGUGAAAUCUCGGAGCUCAACUCCGAGCCUGCGUUCGAUACUGUAUGGCUAGAGUCUGGUAGGGGGAUCUGGAAUUCCUGGUGUAGCGGUGGAAUGCGCAGAUAUCAGGAGGAACACCGGUGGCGAAGGUGGGAUCCUGGGCCAGUACUGACGCUGAGGAGCGAAAGCGUGGGGAGCAAACAGGAUUAGAUACCCUGGUAGUCCACGCCGUAAACGAUGGGCGCUAGGUGUGGGAGGUCAUCGACUCCUUCCGUGCCGCAGCUAACGCAUUAAGCGCCCCGCCUGGGGAGUACGGCCGCAAGGCUA
This 373-nucleotide ribosomal RNA is filed under the name uncultured organism. RNAcentral's name for it is "bacterial SSU rRNA". It matches the Rfam family "Bacterial small subunit ribosomal RNA", at positions 526 to 896 of the family's 1533-position model. The record is from RNAcentral.